Long non-coding RNA from Hippocampus zosterae (dwarf seahorse), 2122 nucleotides. RefSeq lists it as uncharacterized. The transcript has 4 exons. The record is from RefSeq and is a predicted model, not a curated record. NCBI's taxonomy places the organism in Eukaryota, Metazoa, Chordata, Actinopteri, Syngnathiformes, Syngnathidae.
UUUCCUUUGUGCAUUUGGAAACACACACGGAAAAUCUGACAUUGUUUUUAUUAAUUUAAUCAGCAAUUAGAUGAAUGAUUACUCAAAUUUCUUGUGAAAUUGUUACAUGGACACCAGGUAUGACUGAGCGUGUGUGACUAAGAUGAGCCGGAAGGCGUGGCGUCUGUGUGUUGGAGAAGUAAAAGCGACAUGUAUUCACAGGUUUCUGCUUUCCUCCCCUUCCCUCUUUUGUUGGAGAUUCCCGCACUGAAAGCGGAACUCGACAUUUAGUUUUAAUCCCAGGCGGACGCCAGGCCAACCUAACGAGAAAAACAAAUCUACUUUUUGAUGACCGGACGGGUUGGCCUUCUUUGCAAACGACGAUGACAAGCGCUCCAUCCCAUCACCGACAGAGAGGCAUCGACUACGACCUGCCCACCUGCGGAGAGACCAAGUGCAGCGGACACGGUUUUUGUGUGAUCCCCCCAGGUGGGGGUGCUGGCAUCGCGUGCGAGUGUGACCUGGGCUACCAGGGCGAAACCUGCCAGUUAACAUUUAACGGCUCCCUAAGCCUCCCGCUGACCUUGAGUGUGGUGGCCGUCCUUAUCGGUUUGGUGACUCUGGCUUACAUCUUCGCCAAGUUGCGGCAGAAGCAAAAACAGUGGAAGAGGGAGAAAAGUAUGGCCAAACAAGUCCUUUGUGAAGCGGGUCCAUCAAAUUAACACCAGAGGCAAGUUAAGGAGACCCCUCUUCAAAUGUUCUUCUGCAACCUCCUCGCUCAUUUUAUUCAAGCGUUAAGAUGGACCAGCAUGGACCUUUGCUCCUUGAAGUGCUGAUCCACAAAUGCUGAAUUAAGCUUUACUGUGAUUGAGUUGGCCGUCUAACCAUUUCUGACAUUUCUGAUGAAACGACACUGUCACAUGCUGAAAGUGAAGUAUGCUGUUAUAUUUAUUCCCUUAGUUUGUUAUACUUGGAAAAUGUUUGUGCUCAUAUGUGGGGCAGGUGAUAUUUAUAUAACAGAUUUUAGCAAACCUUUGUGGUAAUAGAAACGUCUCCUUUUAAGUGGUCCUGAUUUAUUUUACUUAUUUUUUUUGUAAGGGAAGGAAGGCGAUGAGGGAAAAAUGGCUAGUGCGUCAUGUUCCUGAAAUUGCCUAGAGAGCACACCAACACCACACACAACCUAAUCUCAAAAAUUGCAGAUUUAUGCCAAGGGAAAUGACCGUUGCGGGUGCAAUCCCUUUUAAUAAAUUUACAGUUGGACUUGAAGUGCACUUUAUGAUCUAACUAAAAUCCGUCACAAUAUAAUCGUGGUGCACACUUUGGUACGGUAACCCACUUUUAAAAAUCUGUAAAAUAUAACCAAACAGUCACUAUUCAGCAUCAGUCGGCUAUCUUUAUUUUUUUAUUUUGAUGAUUGCGUCCUUUACGGAGCUUGCACCCUGAGAUAAAGUGACUCUGCAGGCCUGCUAUAAGUGCCAGUCCUGCAAACCAAAAGAACUGGUACAGAGUUUUGAGCCCCCAACCUUAGCAAUGUCUGACCCAUGAUAAUUAACCAAAAAGAAAUAUUUUGCCUACGAGCUUAUCAGGAUGCAAACUUUUCCCUUUUUUUUUUUAAUUGUUGUGAAUGACUUAACACAAGUAGUUACUCCUCUGUUUGUGGCCAACUGCAGCUUCAAGUCACACCCACCCCCGUUCAAAAAAAAAAACGCCUCCUCACAUCGAAAGAACAGGAACUCAGUUUAACUAUCGAACUGUGCUGACAAUGUGGUGCAACGUUGUCUUUUGUCAACCAACAAGUUGUGCAGCCCGAACACUCACCGAAGGGAGUGUUUUUGUUCCCACCCACUAAUUUACUUUUCAACUUUACACAGAUGGAAACAUAUUCCCUCACGGCGUAAAUUUGAGAAGAAACAAUAUUUAUUAGGAACUAUAAACACUGACAGUUUCAGGUUUUAGUAGAAUACCAGUCUGCUUUAUUUCUUGUUCGCACCUUUUUUUUCCCCGCUCAAGGUGAUGGGUAAAGUCGUGAAGCACCGUCCGUUUUUCUGUUUUGUCAUUAUUUACACGAGUAAUCGGAUUACCUACAAGCCUCUAGACAUGAUUAAGAAAAUUAUGUUAGGUUUUUCUUAUGCUCAACUGUUGC